UGAGGAAUAUUGGUCAAUGGACGCAAGUCUGAACCAGCCAAUUAGCGUGCAGGAUGACGGCCCUAUGGGUUGUAAACUGCUUUUAUAUUGGGAUAAAGUGGGGAACGUGUUCCCUUUUGCAGGUACCAUAUGAAUAAGGACCGGCUAAUUCCGUGCCAGCAGCCGCGGUAAUACGGAAGGUUCGGGCGUUAUCCGGAUUUAUUGGGUUUAAAGGGAGCGUAGGCCGUUUGGUAAGCGUGUUGUGAAAUGUAGGAGCUCAACUUCUAGAUUGCAGCGCGAACUGUCAGACUUGAGUGCGCACAACGUAGGCGGAAUUCAUGGUGUAGCGGUGAAAGGCUUAGAUAUAAAGAAGAAAUCCGAUUGCGAAGGCAGCUUACGGGAGCGAAACUGACGCUGAAGCUCGAAGGUGCGGGUAUCGAACAGG
This 424-nucleotide ribosomal RNA is filed under the name Verrucomicrobiota bacterium. RNAcentral describes it as "Verrucomicrobia bacterium partial 16S ribosomal RNA". It matches the Rfam family "Bacterial small subunit ribosomal RNA", at positions 355 to 776 of the family's 1533-position model. The record is from RNAcentral. Lineage: Bacteria; Pseudomonadati; Verrucomicrobiota.